AGAGUUUGAUCCUGGCUCAGGAUGAACGCUGGCGGCGUGCUUAACACAUGCAAGUCGAACGGAACUGUUUAGAUGAAGUUUUCGGAUGGAUUUUAAACAGUUUAGUGGCGGACGGGUGAGUAACGCGUGGGUAACCUGCCUCACACUGGGGGAUAACAGUUAGAAAUAGCUGCUAAUACCGCAUAAGCGCACAGUUCCGCAUGGGACAGUGUGAAAAACUCCGGUGGUGUGAGAUGGACCCGCGUCUGAUUAGCCAGUUGGCGGGGUAACGGCCCACCAAAGCGACGAUCAGUAGCCGGCCUGAGAGGGUGAACGGCCACAUUGGGACUGAGACACGGCCCAAACUCCUACGGGAGGCAGCAGUGGGGAAUAUUGCACAAUGGGGGAAACCCUGAUGCAGCGACGCCGCGUGAGUGAAGAAGUAUUUCGGUAUGUAAAGCUCUAUCAGCAGGGAAGAAAGUGACGGUACCUGAAUAAGAAGCCCCGGCUAACUACGUGCCAGCAGCCGCGGUAAUACGUAGGGGGCAAGCGUUAUCCGGAUUUACUGGGUGUAAAGGGAGUGUAGACGGCAAGGCAAGUCUGAAGUGAAAGCCCGGUGCUUAACGCCGGGACUGCUUUGGAAACUGCUUAGCUGGAGUGCCGGAGAGGUAAGCGGAAUUCCUAGUGUAGCGGUGAAAUGCGUAGAUAUUAGGAAGAACACCAGUGGCGAAGGCGGCUUACUGGACGGUAACUGACGUUGAGGCUCGAAAGCGUGGGGAGCAAACAGGAUUAGAUACCCUGGUAGUCCACGCCGUAAACGAUGAU
RNAcentral lists this ribosomal RNA (804 nucleotides) under uncultured bacterium. RNAcentral describes it as "bacterial SSU rRNA". It matches the Rfam family "Bacterial small subunit ribosomal RNA", at positions 8 to 813 of the family's 1533-position model. The record is from RNAcentral.